GACGAACGCUGGCGGCGUGCCUAAUACAUGCAAGUUGAGCGCUGAAGGUUGGUACUUGUACCAACUGGAUGAGCAGCGAACGGGUGAGUAACGCGUGGGGAAUCUGCCUUUGAGCGGGGGACAACAUUUGGAAACGAAUGCUAAUACCGCAUAAAAACUUUAAACACAAGUUUUAAAUUUGAAAGAUGCAAUUGCAUCACUCAAAGAUGAUCCCGCGUUGUAUUAGCUAGUUGGUGAGGUAAAGGCUCACCAAGGCGAUGAUACAUAGCCGACCUGAGAGGGUGAUCGGCCACAUUGGGACUGAGACACGGCCCAAACUCCUACGGGAGGCAGCAGUAGGGAAUCUUCGGCAAUGGACGAAAGUCUGACCGAGCAACGCCGCGGGAGUGAAGAAGGGUUUCGGAUCGUAAAACUCUGUUGGUAGAGAAGAACGUUGGUGAGAGUGGAAAGCUCAUCAAGUGACGGUAACUACCCAGAAAGGGACGGCUAACUACGUG
Molecule: ribosomal RNA, 497 nt
Filed under: uncultured bacterium
Lineage: Bacteria
Description: partial 16S ribosomal RNA
Rfam family: Bacterial small subunit ribosomal RNA
Source: RNAcentral